GAUGAAGAACGUAGCGAAAUGCGAUACGUAAUGUGAAUUGCAGAAUUCAGUGAAUCAUCGAGUCUUUGAACGCACAUUGCGCCCCCUGGUAUUCCGGGGGGCAUGCCUGUCCGAGCGUCAUUGCUGCCCUCAAGCACGGCUUGUGUGUUGGGCCUCCGUCCUCCUCCCGGGGGACGGGCCCGAAAGGCAGCGGCGGCACCGAGUCCGGUCCUCGAGCGUAUGGGGCUUUGUCACCCGCUCUGUAGGCCCGGCCGGCGCCAGCCGACAACCCAUCAUCCUUUUCAGGUUGACCUCGGAUCAGGUAGGGAUACCCGCUGAACUUAAGCAUAUCAAUAAGCGGAGGA
Molecule: unclassified non-coding RNA, 344 nt
Filed under: soil metagenome
Description: partial contains 5.8S ribosomal RNA, internal transcribed spacer 2, and large subunit ribosomal RNA
Rfam family: 5.8S ribosomal RNA (bases 1-120)
Source: RNAcentral